AGAGUUUGAUCAUGGCUCAGAACGUACGCUGGCGGCACGCCUAACACAUGCAAGUCGAACGAAGUAGCAAUACUUAGUGGCAGACGGGUGAGUAACAUGUAGGUAUCUGCCCUUUGGCCUGGAAUAACACGAGGAAACUUGUGCUAAUACCGGAUAAGUCUUUACGGAGAAAGCUUUAUGCACCAUUGGAUGAGCCUGCACUUGAUUAGUUUGUUGGUGGGGUAAUGGCCUACCAAGACUGUGAUCAAUAGCUGAUUUGAGAGGAUGAUCAGCCACAUUGGGACUGAGACACGGCCCAAACUCCUACGGGAGGCAGCAGUGGGGAAUCUUGCACAAUGGAGGAAACUCUGAUGCAGCGAUGCCGCGUGAGUGAAGAAGGCCUUUGGGUUGUAAAGCUCUUUCGUCGGGGAAGAAAAUGACUGUACCCGAAUAAGAAGGUCCGGCUAACUUCGUGCCAGCAGCCGCGGUAAUACGAAGGGACCUAGCGUAGUUCGGAAUUACUGGGCUUAAAGAGUUCGUAGGUGGUUGAAAAAGUUAGUGGUGAAAUCCCAGAGCUUAACUCUGGAACUGCCAUUAAAACUUUUCAGCUAGAGUAUGAUAGAGGAAAGCAGAAUUUCUAGUGUAGAGGUGAAAUUCGUAGAUAUUAGAAAGAAUACCAAUUGCGAAGGCAGCUUUCUGGAUCAUUACUGACACUGAGGAACGAAAGCAUGGGUAGCGAAGAGGAUUAGAUACCCUCGUAGUCCAUGCCGUAAACGAUGUGUGUUAGACGUUGGAAAUUUAUUUUCAGUGUCGCAGGGAAACCGAUAAACACACCGCCUGGGGAGUACGACCGCAAGGUUAAAACUCAAAUGAAUUGACGGGGACCCGCACAAGUAGUGGAGCAUGUGGUUUAAUUCGAAGAUACGCGCAGAACCUUACCAACACUUGACAUGUUCGUCGCGACUCUAAGAGAUUAGAGUUUUCGGUUCGGCCGGACGAAACACAGGUGCUGCAUGGCUGUCGUCAGCUCGUGUCGUGAGAUGUUGGGUUAAGUCCCGCAACGAGCGCAACCCUCACUUUUAGUUGCCAUCAUUUAGUUGGGCACUCUGAAAGAACUGCCAGUGAUAAGCUGGAGGAAGGUGGGGAUGACGUCAAGUCCUCAUGGCCCUUACGUGUUGGGCUACACACGUGCUACAAUGGUAUCUACAACAGGAAGCAAGACUGCGAAGUUAAGCAAAUCCCUAAAAGAUACCUCAGUUCGGAUUGCACUCUGCAACUCGAGUGCAUGAAGCUGGAAUUACUAGUAAUCGUGGAUCAGCGUGCCACGGUGAAUGCGUUCCCGGGUCUUGUACACACCGCCCGUCACACCAUGGGAGUUGGUUCUACCUUAAGGCAAGGUUUCAAACCCUUGACCACGGUAUAGUCAGCGACUGGGGUGAAGUCGUAACAAGGUA
Molecule: ribosomal RNA, 1433 nt
Filed under: uncultured bacterium
Lineage: Bacteria
Description: bacterial SSU rRNA
Rfam family: Bacterial small subunit ribosomal RNA
Source: RNAcentral